GAUCCCGCAGGUACAAACUUGGAGUAGGCACUGACAGGCCGGCCUUCCUCCGAUCUACACCUCCACUCUAUCUCUCUCAAUUAGUAGAAACUAGAAGAUCUAUUUCUGCUUACAUUGGUUGCUAAGCCUAAAAAGAAAUAUUAUUUAGAGAAGAGGUUUUCCUUCGAGGGCACCCCUCAACUCUAUGAUAACUUCUUGUCUUCUCCAGGGGCCAGGGGGUCUCCUUAUAUAGUCCUCCUCCUCUAUGCGUUUUUGGGUCGGUAGGCGAUGUGGUACUACGUUAUCCUUGAACCUUUAGGUCAGUGGAAUGUCGUGUGCAAAAAGAGUCCCGAACGGAGUCCAGGUCAGGGCGGGCGCCCAGGGAAGGAGGGCGGGCACCCUGGGCCUGGCCCCUUUCGGCCUCUGCUUUCUUCCCGUGGCUUUUGGAGUCUUCUAGAUGGUAGAAAAUUGCGCGGUGUGUUGAUAUCUCUAUGUAAUCCUGACAUGUGGGCCUUUCUUCCGUAUUUCCUGAUAACCCCCUGCAGAAAUAGACAAACACCAAAACUCGUGGAAUUCUGUCAGAUAAAACCCUAAGUCUAGAUGUUGAUUUCAUUUGGAUCCUUUUCUUUGUUUAUUUGAUAAUUAAAUUUGAUACUUAAGGACCGUCAACAAAAUCCCCCAAGCUUAUCUCUUGCUCGUCCCUGAGCAAGGAUGGACUCAAGAGUUUCUGCAGUGGUUUCAUGCCUUAAAGGUACACACGCAUUCAAGCAAGAUCUCAUCUCUCAGUUAGAAUAAACUGUUAAGACUUAAAACUUACUCAUUUUACCUUUCACCAUGGGGCUUGUAACCGUCACUUGUGUCUUGAGCAGUUAAAAGAUAGAACGGUCAAGUCAAGCGCCAUGUCUUGUAUUCUUGAUUAGCUAUAGCUCUAGAGUUUUUGCAGAUUUUCAAAUAAAACUCAGAGUUUCCUUGUAUGACUCUCUCUAGUCUCUCUUUUGUGGUAUUUCUGGAUCCUUACCAAGGCAGUAAUGGUAUAUGCCUUCUCUCAAAGUAUGUGGUAUUUUUGGUAUGAGGCAUAGUGAUAUUGCCUUCUCUCUCACCCUACUCUAAUAAGGUUCUGAUAUCUGGAGCUCAUAGGUGGAAGACAGCUAAUACAUACAUACAAGACAUUUAUUGCAUAGUCAAACCAUGGAUCCAGAGAAACAAGUCAAUAAGUCAAAUCAAGAUGUGCAUGUGUGGCGAGUGAAUGGUGUAUGGUGAUGAUGGAGAUAACAAUGGUGAAAAUCUAUUUCUACUUUUGCUCUUUUAAGGGGAUACAUACCUUUCUUGCACUUUGAAGCUUUUUGAGGAGAAUGAGAUGCUCUAUAUUUUUUUUUCUUUUCUCUCAGGUGGGUAUCUUGUACCCCUAAUUCUACUAUCGGACACUUGUCCAUUUUUACCUCUCGUCUCACUUUUUCUUUUCUUUCGAGGUUCUGGGCACUAGCCCCUUUUUAUUUCCUCGUAUAUUAUUUAUUUUUUUUCUUUUUUUAGAGCACUCAUCUCCUGAAAUAAUGUAGCAAGUGGUAGUAACCAAGAUAACUCGAGCAUUUAUUCCACAGAGAAAAACAUAAAUAUUUUUGGUCAUUCUUUCUCGGAUUAGGAGUAGAAUAUUUUUGGGUGGUUCUGGAGAUGGAAAUGAGUGGAUAUAUGUGGAUGGUACUUCCGGAGUAGAAGUAGCAUGUAUGAGUGAACGUGCAAGCUCAUAAGUAGUAAAAAGUAAAUGUGUGGCUCAAAGUCUAAUAAGCAUGUAUAUAUGGCUGUGGUAGGAUUUUAAACUCUCAUCAUAUAGGAACUCAUCAUGUGACAUUUUAAAGAUUUUUCAAAGAUAAAAUUCUCCAGAAUUCUAGCAUCUCUAGGAAUAGAUAAACAGCAGCUCAACCUUCCCAUAUCAUAUCCGUUAACAACUUAGACUUUAGAUCAAGUACUCUUCCCACAAGUUCAGGUUUAGAGCAAAUCUUACUUCAUAACAGUCAUGCCUAAACUUGAGAGAGAUUUCAAUUUUAAGAACUAGUCAUGGCAGAGCAACUAUUCAUCAUUUCCAUGUGAGAGUUUAUCAUGAGAGUUCAUAGCAAACUUUAUUUAUUUAUUUAUUUAGCAAACUAAGCAAAAAUAUAUAUAUAAGCACAAAAUCUUUAAUUGGGUUUUCAUGAUUAUGCAUCUUUUAUUAUUUGAGUAUGGUAUAAACGCGAGUAGAAACACUUAGCUGGAUAAAUGGGGGUGCUCUCCCCCAAGCUGGAUUUUGACGUAAUUUCUUCUGAUGUAGCUAGCAGGUGGUGGAGGUGUAUUUGAAAGCUGGAAGCACCCUGACAGUGAUUAGGAUGUCCUCCGUCUGCUAGUCUUCUUUCAUCCUUGAAUUCUGUGGAGCUCAAAUAGACAACAAAGCUUUGUGGAACUGGUUAAGUGUUAAUAUCUAGCCUUUAUCAUGUUGAGCCUCCUCAAUAAAUGUUAUUUGUUUAGCAGGAUCAUGCACUUAUUAUUUUUAUAUUUUUAUUGUAAGAUGAAAACUUAUUUAUUUUAUUUUUAUUCCACCACAGUGAAUGUACUUAUGGGUUUUAUGCCAUGAGCAUACUCACAUGGGGCUUACUAUUUUUUAACAUUUUUAUUUUCUUUUCAAGAUAGCAUGAACCUGAUUAACUAAGCAAACUAUAAUUGAAUAAUUGAAAGGAAAAGGAUAACUACCAAGUUUACCUCUUGGCAAGGCGCUCGGUGUUUUUAAGUCCUCCGAACAGGACUCUCCAUUUUCUCAGUCGUCCUGGGAUUCGCUGGAUGGCGUAGUCGGUGGUUCCGGCGGCGCCUCCUCUUCGUGUAUAACUAUCUUCUCUCUCCACACCUGACUCGGUGCUACGGUCUCCUCAGGACAGUUCUGUUCAAGCUGUAUGUCUUCAGACCUUAUCACUUCUCCUUCGUAGUCUACCCAUCCGUCCUUGAUGAUUUGCCUCCUCUGGUUUCGGUUACGUCGCCUUCUUCGGAAGUGCAUGUGGACUUCUCCGGUUCCAAUAUAGAUGAUGGCCUUGAUAGUGUUGCGGAGCGGUCUUUCAAGGAUGGUAGGUGGAUCACACUCGUCUUCUCCCAUGUCAAUGUCCUGAAAAUCAUCUGGAGCUGAAUGUAUAUUGGUUGUAGGGGCAUGGUUCCAUGCAGGAGCUGAUAAGUGACUGCGGUCAUUAUGUUGUCGUCAGAUCCGGUGUCGUAGAGUGUCUUCUAAAAAGAGUAUCCGUUGAUUGUGCACUUGAUGCUUGGAGCACCAGGGUCGUCCUUCAUGAUCAGGAAGAGCGACUUGAGUCGACGAUCUUGACCUCCUCUGACAAGGAUCCAAUGUUUUAAGUCUUCUGGACAAGACUUCUCACCGUCUUCGUCCUUUAGGUGCAUCAUUUGAUUAGGUGUGGACCUUGACGUCUGCACGGUGUCACCCAUGUUCUUCGUUUGCCCAGCAGUUCGAAGUGCGGUAUUGGCAAUAUCCUGCUCAGUGUGUUUGUGCUCGUAGAUCCAGGUCCUUCAGUUGGUGGAGUCUGGAAGUUGUAAAACUCCUCCAUGUUUUGCUUGAAGUGUACCUGUUUAUAGAGACAAGACAGAGAUCAAGUGCAUGGGCCCUGUUGGUGGAAAACACCAACAGAACCAAAAGUGUAUUUGUUCUUCUCUAACCUUAAGCAUAGUGAGCAAGACAAAGUUGAUGAGUGUAGCAUUUGUCAGAUCAGAUGGCUCAACCUAAUGGAAAGAUAAUCUAUUUAUGUUUUGUUUAUAUUUUCCAGAGAUUGAAUGUGCAACAUAUUAGCUUAUAUGAUUAGGAGUGUGGGAUCACGAAGGUAGUACUAAGAACAAAGAUUAAAGGACUAAACAUGUUGAAUUAAUUGGGUUGGUUAAUUUGGAGCUAUAAAUCAUACAUGUUUGUCUCUUUAUUUAUGUGAAUGCUAGAACCAAGGAGAAACUUAUAAAAGCGAUAGUCAAGUACCUUAAGAUGUUACCUUACUUGAAGAGUGAUGGUAUAGUAUCACCUUGUGGAAACUUUCCUUUCUUAGCGGUUGUGCAUCGUGUUUGUGGCAUUCUUUGUCUCGUUCCAUGGAUCAUCUCUUUAUGAUGAAUGAGCUAUGUCUUCCUUGUGCAAGUCGUUAAAUUUCAUGUGUCUUCUUUAUCUCCAAUGAGUUUAUAUCUCAGGACUUCCCAGGUUGAUAAUUAAAGUUUUCCUGCAGGGGUUAGUUCGACACAAUAUACCAAUGUCUACACAAGCAGUUUUUAGUUCAAUAACCGAACUAGACUCCAUGUCUAAUCAGAUUAAGGAAGGCUGUUUAACCUAAGCACCAUGCUUAAUUU
This 4323-nucleotide long non-coding RNA is filed under the name Sorghum bicolor (sorghum). RNAcentral's name for it is "long non-coding RNA (SBIC_LNC012924)". Lineage: Eukaryota; Viridiplantae; Streptophyta; Magnoliopsida; Poales; Poaceae. The record is from RNAcentral.